UACGUAGGUGGCAAGCGGUGUCCGGAUUUACUGGGCGUAAAGGGCGCGUAGGCGGCCAGUGCAAGUCAGUUGUGAAAUCUCCGAGCUUAACUCGGAAAGGUCAACUGAUACUGCUCGGCUAGAGUGCGGAAGGGGCAACUGGAAUUCCUGGUGUAGCGGUGAGAUGCGCAGAUAUCAGGAGGAACACCGGUGGCGAAGGCGGGUCUCUGGGCCGAUACUGACGCUGAGGAGCGAAAGCGUGGGGAGCGAACAGG
This 254-nucleotide ribosomal RNA is filed under the name uncultured bacterium. RNAcentral describes it as "partial 16S ribosomal RNA". It matches the Rfam family "Bacterial small subunit ribosomal RNA", at positions 524 to 776 of the family's 1533-position model. The record is from RNAcentral.